GAGGGUAUAGCUCAGUGGUAGAGUGUGCGCUUAAAAUGCACAGGGUCCGGGGUUCAAUCUCCAGUACCUCUA
Molecule: transfer RNA, 72 nt
Filed under: Camelus bactrianus (Bactrian camel)
Lineage: Eukaryota; Metazoa; Chordata; Mammalia; Artiodactyla; Camelidae
Also listed under: 2 other names
Rfam family: tRNA
About the family: Transfer RNA (tRNA) molecules are approximately 80 nucleotides in length. Their secondary structure includes four short double-helical elements and three loops (D, anti-codon, and T loops).
Source: Rfam by way of RNAcentral